GAUGAACGCUGGCGGCGUGCCUAAUACAUGCAAGUCGAGCGAACAGACGAGGAGCUUGCUCCUCUGACGUUAGCGGCGGACGGGUGAGUAACGCGUGGAUAACCUACCUAUAAGACUGGGAUAACUUCGGGAAGCCGGAGCUAAUACCGGAUAAUAUAUUGAACCGCAUGGUUCAAUAGUGAAAGACGGUUUUGCUGUCACUUAUAGAUGGAUCCGCGCCGCAUUAGCUAGUUGGUAAGGUAACGGCUUACCAAGGCGACGAUGCGUAGCCGACCUGAGAGGGUGAUCGGCCACACUGGAACUGAGACACGGUCCAGACUCCUACGGGAGGCAGCAGUAGGGAAUCUUCCGCGAUGGGCGAAAGCCUGACGGAGCAACGCCGCGUGAGUGAUGAAGGUCUUCGGAUCGUAAAACUCUGUUAUUAGGGAAGAACAAAUGUGUAAGUAACUAUGCACGUCUUGACGGUACCUAAUCAGAAAGCCACGGCUAACUACG
This 495-nucleotide ribosomal RNA is filed under the name uncultured bacterium. Its description in RNAcentral is "partial 16S ribosomal RNA". It matches the Rfam family "Bacterial small subunit ribosomal RNA", at positions 28 to 505 of the family's 1533-position model. The record is from RNAcentral.